AGCAGCCGCGGUAAUUCCAGCUCCAAUAGCGUAUAUUAAAGUUGCUGCAGUUAAAAAGCUCGUAGUUGAAUUUCGGGACCAAUAUGUCGGUCGUGCCUCGGUACGUACUGGCAUCGUUGGUUUCUCCCUUCUGACGAACCAUGAUGUCAUUUAUUUGGUGUCGUGGGGAAUCAGGACUGUUACUUUGAAAAAUUAGAGUGUUUAAAGCAGGCUCACGCUUGAAUACAUUAGCAUGGAAUAAUGAAAUAGGACGUUUGAUUCUAUUUUGUUGGUUUCUAGGAUCGACGUAAUGAUUAAUAGGGAUAGUUGGGGGCAUUAGUAUUCAAUUGUCAGAGGUGAAAUUCUUGGAUUUAUUGAAGACUAACUACUGCGAAAGCAUUUGCCAAGGAUGUUUUCAUUAAUCAAGAACGAAAGUUAGGGGAUCGAAGACGAUCAGAUACCGUCGUAGUCUUAACCAUAAACUAUGCCGACUAGGAAUCAGACGAUGUUAAUUUUUAAUGUACUCG
Molecule: ribosomal RNA, 506 nt
Filed under: uncultured Glomeraceae
Lineage: Eukaryota; Fungi; Glomeromycota; Glomeromycetes; Glomerales; Glomeraceae
Description: SSU rRNA
Rfam family: Eukaryotic small subunit ribosomal RNA
Source: RNAcentral